AACCGCAACCGCGUGCGUUUUGUGCUGACGGGUGGGCCUACAUGGUCAGCGACUCGACCCUGGCACGUGUCUGAUCACCGUGCACCGACACGCGGGCCCCGACAGACAGCCUCUCGCGCGGGGUUGCGACUGGCCUGUGGCCCCCUAUCAGCCGCUCUCACUACGCUUGUUGACUUUCUCUAACGUGUGGGACCUGUCGAGCUCAUGAGCGUUCCUCACCAGCGUGUGGGCCCGGGAGGUCAGGGUGCCUUUCCCCUUUCUCCGCAUGAACGACGCCCCGAACUCAACAAACUACGCCGAAUCCUCCAGGGGUUGUUAUGGGUUCCCGGCCCUCUCCCUCUAGCACUAAUCUACCAGCCGCAACUCCCCUGCCUCCUCGUUUCGUUUCACCAGAGCCAAAAUCGAGCACUAGUACCAGAGCAGAGGUGAGCUGAGAGCAGGGAGCACCGCCAACACCGACCUAUUCCUCGACCGAUGUUCGGGGAUCCGCGGCGAGUCUGGGAGCCUCGUGGAGUUGCUUGUGAGGCACCUGUAGCCGAGUGGGGAAGGAUUGACCACCGAGGCGGCUGGAAUUCUUCGUCGAACACUGUGAUCCGUCACGCUUCAUGGGUUGGGCUUGGCGCUACUUGAAUCACGAGAAGGUGGCCCCGGAGGAAGACAAAUACGAGGAGUUCGACGAGGUCUAGGUGUCGUCUCCCAAUCAGUUUGUUGGCGCCAUGGGACAAUAAUGUUAUUAGUUCAUUUUAAUUAUUAUCAUUUAUCUUGUAAGACAUUUCAUUAUGUAAUAAUGAUUGUGACAUUCGUCUCUAUACACUGAGUCAUCAUAUGUGUUGAUCU
Zea mays is the source of this 837-nucleotide long non-coding RNA. RefSeq lists it as uncharacterized. Lineage: Eukaryota; Viridiplantae; Streptophyta; Magnoliopsida; Poales; Poaceae. The transcript is spliced from 2 exons. The record is from RefSeq and is a predicted model, not a curated record.